RNAcentral lists this ribosomal RNA (483 nucleotides) under uncultured bacterium. Its description in RNAcentral is "partial 16S ribosomal RNA". It matches the Rfam family "Bacterial small subunit ribosomal RNA", at positions 28 to 507 of the family's 1533-position model. The record is from RNAcentral.
GACGAACGCUGGCGGCGUGCCUAACACAUGCAAGUCGAGCGGGGAUUUAAGUGGAAGUUCUUCGGAAUGGAGAUUUAAAUUCUAGCGGCGGACGGGUGAGUAACGCGUGAACAAUCUGUCCCGGACAGGGGGAUAACACUUGGAAACAGGUGCUAAUACCGCAUAAGACCACGGCCUCGCAUGGGGCUGAGGUAAAAGGAGCAAUCCGGUUCGGGGUGAGUUCGCGUCCGAUUAGCUAGUUGGUGAGGUAACGGCCCACCAAGGCGACGAUCGGUAGCCGACCUGAGAGGGUGAACGGCCACAUUGGAACUGAGAGACGGUCCAAACUCCUACGGGAGGCGGCAGUGGGGAAUAUUGGGCAAUGGGCGAAAGCCUGACCCAGCAACGCCGCGUGAGGGAAGAAGGUUUUCGGAUUGUAAACCUCUGUCCUAUGGGACGAAGGAAGUGACGGUACCAUAGGAGGAAGCCCCGGCUAACUACGUG